GACGAACGCUGGCGGCGUGCUUGACACAUGCAAGUCGAACGGAAAGGCCUGCUUUCCCUUGUGGAUUGCGGGUACUCGAGUGGCGAACGGGUGAGUAACACGUGAGUGAUCUGCCCCCAACUUGGGUAUAAGCCUGGGAAACUGGGUCUAAUUCCCGAUAGGACUGCAGGGUGGUGCCUGUGGUGGAAAACGAUUUUCUAGUGGUUGGGGAUGAGCUCGCGGCCUAUCAGCUUGUUGGUGGGGUAAUGGCCUACCAAGGCGGCGACGGGUAGCCGGCCUGGGAGGGUGGGCGGCCACAUUGGGACUGAGAUACGGCCCACGCUCCGACGAGAGGCAGCAGUGGGGAAUAGUGCAAGAUGGGCGGAAGCCUGAUGCAGCGACGCCACGUGGGGGAUGACGGCCUUCGGGUUGUAAACUCCUUUCGACCGCGAGGAAGCCACCUGGUUGGAAGGGUGGUGACGGUAGUGGUAUAAGAAGCACCGGCUAACUACGUG
RNAcentral lists this ribosomal RNA (494 nucleotides) under uncultured bacterium. Its description in RNAcentral is "partial 16S ribosomal RNA". It matches the Rfam family "Bacterial small subunit ribosomal RNA", at positions 28 to 507 of the family's 1533-position model. The record is from RNAcentral.